UACACUCCUACGGGAGGCAGCAGUGGGGAAUAUUGGACAAUGGGCGCAAGCCUGAUCCAGCCAUGCCGCGUGAGUGAUGAAGGCCCUAGGGUUGUAAAGCUCUUUCACCGGUGAAGAUAAUGACGGUAACCGGAGAAGAAGCCCCGGCUAACUUCGUGCCAGCAGCCGCGGUAAUACGAAGGGGGCUAGCGUUGUUCGGAUUUACUGGGCGUAAAGCGCACGUAGGCGGACUAUUAAGUCAGGGGUGAAAUCCCGGGGCUCAACCCCGGAACUGCCUUUGAUACUGGUAGUCUUGAGUUCGAGAGAGGUGAGUGGAAUUCCGAGUGUAGAGGUGAAAUUCGUAGAUAUUCGGAGGAACACCAGUGGCGAAGGCGGCUCACUGGCUCGAUACCGACGCUGAGGUGCGAAAGCGUGGGGAGCAAACAGGAUUAGAAACCCGAGUAGUCCCAUGAU
RNAcentral lists this ribosomal RNA (453 nucleotides) under uncultured organism. Its description in RNAcentral is "partial 16S ribosomal RNA". It matches the Rfam family "Bacterial small subunit ribosomal RNA", at positions 332 to 801 of the family's 1533-position model. The record is from RNAcentral.